Molecule: transfer RNA, 71 nt
Filed under: Chloroflexota bacterium
Lineage: Bacteria; Bacillati; Chloroflexota
Also listed under: 5 other names
Description: Chloroflexi bacterium tRNA-Gln
Rfam family: tRNA
About the family: Transfer RNA (tRNA) molecules are approximately 80 nucleotides in length.
Source: RNAcentral
UGCGGUGUCGCCAAGUGGUAAGGCAGCGGACUUUGAAUCCGCCAUCCCUGGUUCGAUCCCAGGCACCGCAG